RNAcentral lists this ribosomal RNA (932 nucleotides) under Catenula lemnae. RNAcentral describes it as "SSU rRNA". It matches the Rfam family "Eukaryotic small subunit ribosomal RNA", at positions 40 to 966 of the family's 1831-position model. The record is from RNAcentral. Lineage: Eukaryota; Metazoa; Platyhelminthes; Catenulidae.
AAGAUUAAGCCAUGCAUGUCUAAGUACACACUUUGGUAAAGUGAAACCGCGAAUGGCUCAUUAAAUCAGCUACAAUUUAUUAGAUCGUACACUGUUACUUGGAUAACUGUGGGAAUUCUAGAGCUAAUACAUGCCGAGAGUCUCUGCUCUUCGGGGCAGAGCGCAGUUAUUAGACCAAAACCAGCCGUAUCUUUCGGGGUACGCUCUUUUGGUGACUCUGGAUAACCUUCAGCCGAUCGCAUGGCCUCGUGCCGGCGACGUAUCUUUCAAGUGUCUGCCCUAUCAACUUUCGAUGGUACGUGAUAUGCCUACCAUGGUGAUAACGGGUAACGGGGAAUCAGGGUUCGAUUCCGGAGAGGGAGCCUGAGAAAUGGCUACCACAUCCAAGGAUGGCAGCAGGCGCGCAAAUUACCCACUCCCAGCUUGGGGAGGUAGUGACGAAAAAUAACAAUGCGGGACUCUAAGAGGCCCCGUAAUUGGAAUGAGUACACCUUAAAUCGUUUAACGAGUAUCAAUUGGAGGGCAAGUCUGGUGCCAGCAGCCGCGGUAAUUCCAGCUCCAAUAGCGUAUAUUAAAGUUGCUGCAGUUAAAAAGCUCGUAGUUGGAUCUGGGGCUUGAGGUCGCUGUCUAUCGUUUCGGCGAUGACGGUGAUGCUCAGCUCUGCUUGCCGGUGACUGUUGCGGUGUUCUUAAUUGAGCGCUGUAGCAGCACGGCACGUUUACUUUGAAAAAAUUAGAGUGCUCAAAGCGUGCUUGUCGCUUGAAUAAUGUUGCAUGGAAUAAUGGAAUAGGACCUCGGUUCUAUUUUGUUGGUUUUCGGAGCUUGAGGUAAUGAUUAAGAGGGACGAACGGGGGCAUUCGUAUUGCGGUGUUAGAGGUGAAAUUCUUGGAUCGCCGCAAGACGGACUACUGCGAAAGCAUUUGCCAAGAAAA